This 243-nucleotide unclassified non-coding RNA is filed under the name Hevea brasiliensis (rubber tree). Lineage: Eukaryota; Viridiplantae; Streptophyta; Magnoliopsida; Malpighiales; Euphorbiaceae. The record is from RNAcentral.
AGUUGCAAUUUCUAAACAAAUUAGAAUAUAACCUUUUUAAAACAAGAAAAGAUGGAUGUGCUAAUCUCCUAUCCAUUGGAUAAUCUCUCAAUUAGCACUUAUAGACUAUCUUAACAAAGCCUAGUUUGCUUCGGGAUUUGAAGAAUUACAACCGUCAUUUAGAAAAUACAGAUCAUCUUGCAAUUUGCCACUGCCAAUCAGUUUCCCUAUUUUCAAAUCAUUGAUUGAAUAUGCUGUUCCAAG